AGGGCAUUUCCUGGGGAUUAAUGACUGUCUGGGGUCAUCAUCUCCUCCCAGUUAGUUAUUAGUCCCCCAGGAAAUACUGUGUGCCUU
This 87-nucleotide non-coding RNA is filed under the name Chrysemys picta bellii (western painted turtle). Lineage: Eukaryota; Metazoa; Chordata; Testudines; Emydidae. The record is from RNAcentral. RNAcentral also lists the same sequence under 1 other name.